AGCUUCGGUUCCGCUGACGACCGGCGCACGGGUGCGUAACGCGUAUGAAACCUGCCUUAUACAGGGGGAUAGCCCGAAGAAAUUCGGAUUAAUACCCCAUAAUGAUAAGUUAUCGCAUGGUAAUUUAUUUAAAACUCCGGUGGUAUAAGAUGGUCAUGCGUGACAUUAGCUAGUUGGUGAGGUAACGGCUCACCAAGGCGACGAUGUCUAGGGGUUCUGAGAGGAAGGUCCCCCACACUGGUACUGAGACACGGACCAGACUCCUACGGGAGGCAGCAGUGAGGAAUAUUGGUCAAUGGGCGCAAGCCUGAACCAGCCAUGUCGCGUGCAGGACGACUGCCCUAUGGGUUGUAAACUGCUUUUAUAUGGGAAGAAAUGUAUCUACGAGUAGAUAUUUGCCGGUACCAUAUGAAUAAGCAUCGGCUAACUCCGUGCCAGCAGCCGCGGUAAUACGGAGGAUGCGAGCGUUAUCCGGAUUCAUUGGGUUUAAAGGGUGCGUAGGCGGAAGUGUAAGUCAGGGGUGAAAGUUUGCAGCUCAACUGUAAAAUUGCCUUUGAUACUGCAUUUCUUGAGUACAUUUGAGGUAGGCGGAAUGUGUUGUGUAGCGGUGAAAUGCUUAGAUAUAACACAGAACACCGAUUGCGAAGGCAGCUUACUAAACUGUAACUGACGCUGAUGCACGAAAGCGUGGGGAUCGAACAGGAUUAGAUACCCUGGUAGUCCACGCCGU
This 730-nucleotide ribosomal RNA is filed under the name uncultured Bacteroidota bacterium. Its description in RNAcentral is "bacterial SSU rRNA". It matches the Rfam family "Bacterial small subunit ribosomal RNA", at positions 76 to 803 of the family's 1533-position model. The record is from RNAcentral. Lineage: Bacteria; Pseudomonadati; Bacteroidota.